Molecule: long non-coding RNA, 2011 nt
Filed under: Gadus morhua (Atlantic cod)
Lineage: Eukaryota; Metazoa; Chordata; Actinopteri; Gadiformes; Gadidae
Description: lncRNA (ENSGMOG00000026017.1)
Source: RNAcentral
AUGCCGGCGGGACGGGGUGGGAUCGUGGUGACAAUGCCCCGUUUGUACCCCAGGAAGACGUCAUGUGCCGUCCGGUUGGAAUUUUGGCACGCUGUCCAACCCUGCUGCCUCCUCCAGACUCUCUGCCGGGCAGGGAGCAACUCCCACAACAUCAGCGCAGCCGCACACACAGUGGACAGGAUAGGGAUACUGAAGCCAGCCAAUAGCAGCUCAGAGUGCAGCAGUGUCUCCAAUCCUUACCCAGAAUCCUGCAUGGCUACUCCUCCUCACAACGCAACAUGUAGAGACCCCUCUACUGUGUUCAGCUCUUUGACUGACCUCAACACCACAUGUCCAACAGAGGAACAAGUCAUAGGAACAGCCUGUAACUGCUCUGGGUUCUGCACUGGAAGAGAAAUUGAUGCAUACUAUGCUUUUAGAAUUUCAAUCACGGACAGAACACUAAACGUGUCCUACAUCUCUAAUCUGGUGAGUGUGUGUGUGUGUAUGUGUGUGUGUGCAUGUUGGUGUGUGUGUGUGUGUGUGUGUGUGUGUGUGUGUGUGUGUGUGUGUGUGUGUGUGUGUGUGUGUGUGUGUGUGUGUGUGUGUGUGUGUGUGUGUGUGUGUGUGUGUGUGUGUGUGUGUGUGUGCGUGUGUGUGUGUGUUAUUGCACAUAUGUCCAUGCUUAUCCUCUGUUAUGUUUCUAAUGUGGUAAAUGAAUGGUUUUAUAAUGUGCACCACAUCUCUUCAUGUUCUUAAGAUCUCUCAGCUGGGGACUCGUUCCCUUUGCACCCACGACUCUGGGUAGGUUCUGUAAUACUUCAUGGCAUGCCUACAGGAUCAUAUGGUCAUAAAAGAACACAUAAUCACUGACAAUGUUCUCUUACAGCUCAACAUGCCUGCCCGACAUCAGAACCUCAUACAAGGUAAAUACGAUCCAAAAGGACUUUCAUAUUCAUGAUUCAUGUUUGCAGCUGUUAGCUGAAAUUGACCAUCAGUUUUCCUAAAUAAUGCCUUGUUGAAGGCAGAGUUCCCAACUGGUUGUUAAAUGGAUUCACGGAUGCAGCAUUCUAAAGCUAUGCCGUUGGAUGCAGAGUUCUAAGCAGUUUAAGAGUACUACAAUUAUGCAGAGAGGAAGACUACUGAGCUGAUUCAUAGUACUAAAAUGAUUCAAAGUUUUAAGCAGUUUCAGAGUUCUAAACAGUUUCAGAGUUCCAAACAAAUGCAGCGUUCUUAAGAAUUCCCAGGUUUAAACCUUCAACUUCCAACAUAUAAACAAGGCUAUUCAUUUAACUAAAUGCUCAAGCAUAAGUCUGUCUAAAAUAGUUUAUUUAUCUCAAUGAGAAACGGGAAAGGGAAAAAAUCCUGGUUGUUUUACAGGGGGCAUUUUCAAAUCGAAUCAUUUUAGCCAUGCUCAGCACGGUGCCGUCAGCAGCAUCAACCUAAUCAGUUUUAAUCCAUACUUUUACAUAAUUGUUCAAGCAAAUGUAUGACUCUGUGAUACAUUUUCCCCAGGAUAAUGAAGUUGAAUGUGUACAAACAACUACGAGGUGAGAUAUUGUAUGAUAACACCUUUGUUUACCAAAUUACCCUUAAUAGUUUCAUCGUCAUGUCAUUGUUCAUUCUAUUCAAUGCACAUCGGACAUUUCCUUGUGUUCUAGAAUAGUGUUGAAGAAGGGAUCCUUUAUUAGUACCGUUCUUCCUGUUUCCAUUGGGUUUAGGGCUUUUGAGGUUUUUCAUUGGGUGAUUGAGUGUUUCAACUUUACAGCUUGGGCGGAGCGGGAGGGAGAAUAAAAAGUAUUUUAAAAUCAAAAAAUUCCCCUCAUCACAGUAACGGUCCAUUAUCUGCCAACAUCCCAACCCCUCCGGCCCUAAACCCUCUCACUAAAUGAAGACACUGAACUGGCGAUAAUGCUUUUUCAUAACAUAAUGCACUAAAAUGUAUUUGUGAAAGCUUGCUGUUUUCUUAUAUUUUAUCCUAGGCUUGAGUGCAAUUUGAUCAUCAGUUUCUCCCAAAAGCUUCCUACUUGUG